RNAcentral lists this ribosomal RNA (1372 nucleotides) under uncultured bacterium. RNAcentral's name for it is "bacterial SSU rRNA". It matches the Rfam family "Bacterial small subunit ribosomal RNA", at positions 28 to 1381 of the family's 1533-position model. The record is from RNAcentral.
GAUGAACGCUGGCGGCGUGCCUAAUACAUGCAAGUCGAGCGAACGGACGAGAAGCUUGCUUCUCUGAUGUUAGCGGCGGACGGGUGAGUAACACGUGGAUAACCUACCUAUAAGACUGGGAUAACUUCGGGAAACCGGAGCUAAUACCGGAUAAUAUUUUGAACCGCAUGGUUCAAAAGUGAAAGACGGUCUUGCUGUCACUUAUAGAUGGAUCCGCGCUGCAUUAGCUAGUUGGUAAGGUAACGGCUUACCAAGGCAACGAUGCAUAGCCGACCUGAGAGGGUGAUCGGCCACACUGGAACUGAGACACGGUCCAGACUCCUACGGGAGGCAGCAGUAGGGAAUCUUCCGCAAUGGGCGAAAGCCUGACGGAGCAACGCCGCGUGAGUGAUGAAGGUCUUCGGAUCGUAAAACUCUGUUAUUAGGGAAGAACAUAUGUGUAAGUAACUGUGCACAUCUUGACGGUACCUAAUCAGAAAGCCACGGCUAACUACGUGCCAGCAGCCGCGGUAAUACGUAGGUGGCAAGCGUUAUCCGGAAUUAUUGGGCGUAAAGCGCGCGUAGGCGGUUUUUUAAGUCUGAUGUGAAAGCCCACGGCUCAACCGUGGAGGGUCAUUGGAAACUGGAAAACUUGAGUGCAGAAGAGGAAAGUGGAAUUCCAUGUGUAGCGGUGAAAUGCGCAGAGAUAUGGAGGAACACCAGUGGCGAAGGCGACUUUCUGGUCUGUAACUGACGCUGAUGUGCGAAAGCGUGGGGAUCAAACAGGAUUAGAUACCCUGGUAGUCCACGCCGUAAACGAUGAGUGCUAAGUGUUAGGGGGUUUCCGCCCCUUAGUGCUGCAGCUAACGCAUUAAGCACUCCGCCUGGGGAGUACGACCGCAAGGUUGAAACUCAAAGGAAUUGACGGGGACCCGCACAAGCGGUGGAGCAUGUGGUUUAAUUCGAAGCAACGCGAAGAACCUUACCAAAUCUUGACAUCCUUUGACAACUCUAGAGAUAGAGCUUUCCCCUUCGGGGGACAAAGUGACAGGUGGUGCAUGGUUGUCGUCAGCUCGUGUCGUGAGAUGUUGGGUUAAGUCCCGCAACGAGCGCAACCCUUAAGCUUAGUUGCCAUCAUUAAGUUGGGCACUCUAAGUUGACUGCCGGUGACAAACCGGAGGAAGGUGGGGAUGACGUCAAAUCAUCAUGCCCCUUAUGAUUUGGGCUACGCACGUGCUACAAUGGACAAUACAAAGGGCAGCGAAACCGCGAGGUCAAGCAAAUCCCAUAAAGUUGUUCUCAGUUCGGAUUGUAGUCUGCAACUCGACUACAUGAAGCUGGAAUCGCUAGUAAUCGUAGAUCAGCAUGCCACGGUGAAUACGUUCCCGGGUCU